GACGAACGCUGGCGGCGUGCCUAAUACAUGCCAGUUGAGCGCUGAAGGUUGGUACUUGUACCAACUGGAUGAGCAGCGAACGGGUGAGUAACGCGUGGGGAAUCUGCCUUUGAGCGGGGGACAACAUUUGGAAACGAAUGCUAAUACCGCAUAAAAACUUUAAACACAAGUUUUAAGUUUGAAAGAUGCAAUUGCAUCACUCAAAGAUGAUCCCGCGUUGUAUUAGCUAGUUGGUGAGGUAAAGGCUCACCAAGGCGAUGAUACAUAGCCGACCUGAGAGGGUGAUCGGCCACAUUGGGACUGAGACACGGCCCAAACUCCUACGGGAGGCAGCAGUAGGGAAUCUUCGGCAAUGGACGAAAGUCUGACCGAGCAACGCCGCGUGAGUGAAGAAGGUUUUCGGAUCGUAAAACUCUGUUGGUAGAGAAGAACGUUGGUGAGAGUGGAAAGCUCAUCAAGUGACGGUAACUACCCAGAAAGGGACGGCUGACUACGUG
This 497-nucleotide ribosomal RNA is filed under the name uncultured bacterium. RNAcentral describes it as "partial 16S ribosomal RNA". It matches the Rfam family "Bacterial small subunit ribosomal RNA", at positions 28 to 507 of the family's 1533-position model. The record is from RNAcentral.